This 106-nucleotide small nuclear RNA is filed under the name Brassica napus (rape). The record is from RNAcentral. Lineage: Eukaryota; Viridiplantae; Streptophyta; Magnoliopsida; Brassicales; Brassicaceae.
AUGGCCGUUCGGGGAUAUUCGAUAAAAUUGAAACGAUAUAGAGAAGAUUAGCAUGACCCUUGCGCAAGGAUGAUACGCACAAAAUCAAGAAAUGGUCAAAAUUUUU